AAUGAACGCUGGCGGCAGGCCUAACACAUGCAAGUCGAACGGAUCCUUCGGGAUUAGUGGCGGACGGGUGGGUAACGCGUGGGAACAUACCCAAAGGUACGGAAUAGCCUCGGGAAACUGGGAGUAAUACCGUAUGUGCUCGAAAGAGGAAAGAUUUACCGCCUUUGGAUUGGCCCGCGUUGGAUUAGGUAGUUGGUGGGGUAAUGGCCUACCAAGCCGACGAUCCAUAGCUGGUUUGAGAGGAUGAUCGGCCACACUGGGACUGAGACACGGCCCAGACUCCUACGGGAGGCAGCAGUGGGGAAUCUUAGACAAUGGGGGAAACCCUGAUCUAGCCAUGCCGCGUGAUCGAUGAAGGCCUUAGGGUUGUAAAGAUCUUUCAGGUGGGAAGAUAAUGACUGUACCACCAGAAGAAGCCCCGGCUAACUCCGUGCCAGCCGCCGCCGUAA
RNAcentral lists this ribosomal RNA (449 nucleotides) under uncultured bacterium. RNAcentral describes it as "partial 16S ribosomal RNA". It matches the Rfam family "Bacterial small subunit ribosomal RNA", at positions 29 to 523 of the family's 1533-position model. The record is from RNAcentral.